Molecule: ribosomal RNA, 424 nt
Filed under: uncultured Psychrobacter sp.
Lineage: Bacteria; Pseudomonadati; Pseudomonadota; Gammaproteobacteria; Moraxellales; Moraxellaceae
Description: bacterial SSU rRNA
Rfam family: Bacterial small subunit ribosomal RNA
Source: RNAcentral
CGGCCGCGUCGACCGCAACGAGCGCAACCCUUGUCCUUAGUUACCAGCGGUUUGGCCGGGAACUCUAAGGAUACUGCCAGUGACAAACUGGAGGAAGGCGGGGACGACGUCAAGUCAUCAUGGCCCUUACGACCAGGGCUACACACGUGCUACAAUGGUAGGUACAGAGGGCAGCUACACAGCGAUGUGAUGCGAAUCUCAAAAAGCCUAUCGUAGUCCAGAUUGGAGUCUGCAACCCGACUCCAUGAAGUAGGAAUCGCUAGUAAUCGCGGAUCAGAACUGCCGCGGUGAAUACGUUCCCGGGCCUUGUACACACCGCCCGUCACACCACGAGAGUUUGUAACACCCGAAGUCGGUGAGGUAACCACUUGUGGAGCCAGCCGCCGAAGGUGGGACGGAUGAUUGGGGUGUGUCGACGCGGCCG